UGACUNGAGUGCAGAAAGGGAGAGUGGAAUNCCAUGUGUAGCGGUGAAAUGCGUAGAUAUAUGGAGGAACACCNGUGGCGAAAGCGGCUCUCUGGUCUGUCACUGACGCUGAGGCUNGAAAGCGUGGGUAGCGAACAGGAUUAGAUACCCUGGUAGUCCACGCCGUAAACGAUGAGUGCUAGGUGUUAGGCCCUUUCCGGGGCUUAGUGCCGGAGCUAACGCAAUAAGCACUCCGCCUGGGGAGUACGACCGCAAGGUUGAAACUCAAAGGAAUUGACGGGGGCCCGCACAAGCGGUGAGCAUGUGGUUUAAUUCGAAGCAACGCGAAGAACCUUACCAGGUCUUGACAUCCCGAUGCUGUUCUUAGAGAUAGGAAGUUACUUCGGUACAUCGGAGACAGGUGGUGCAUGGUUGUCGUCAGCUCGUGUCGUGAGAUGUUGGGUUAAGUCCCGCAACGAGCGCAACCCUUAUUGUUAGUUGCCAUCAUUAAGUUGGGCACUCUAGCGAGACUGCCGGUGAUAAACCGGAGGAAGGUGGGGAUGACGUCAAAUCAUCAUGCCCCUUAUGACCUGGGCUACACACGUGCUACAAUGGUCGGUACAACGAGUUGCGAGCCGGUGACGGCAAGCUAAUCUCUGAAAGCCGAUCUCAGUUCGGAUUGGAGGCUGCAACUCGCCUCCAUGAAGUCGGAAUCGCUAGUAAUCGCGGAUCAGCACGCCGCGGUGAAUACGUUCCCGGGCCUUGUACACACCGCCCGUCACACCACGAGAGUUUGUAACACCCGAAGUCGGUGAGGUAACCUUUU
RNAcentral lists this ribosomal RNA (805 nucleotides) under uncultured bacterium. RNAcentral describes it as "bacterial SSU rRNA". It matches the Rfam family "Bacterial small subunit ribosomal RNA", at positions 638 to 1444 of the family's 1533-position model. The record is from RNAcentral.